Molecule: small RNA, 351 nt
Filed under: Pan troglodytes (chimpanzee)
Lineage: Eukaryota; Metazoa; Chordata; Mammalia; Primates; Hominidae
Description: retained intron
Source: RNAcentral
CAGACUGUGCAUCUGGAAUCUUUCUUGCUGCAGAAAAGUAUGCACCUUCCAAACGAUGGCAUAUAGACACAAUUAUGCGUGUUUUGACAACGGUAAGUCGCUUUUUUCAGACAGCAUAUACGAAGUGCUGGGAUAUACUGAUGUUAUCAUGAAGUUUAUGUUCUAGUCAGGGAGGUAAGAAAUUCACAAGUAAAUAGGUAACAUUAAUGUCAGGAAUAAAUGCCAUGAAGAAAAACCUAAAGCAGCAUGGAGGAAUAUAAUGAUGGCAGGAUAAGGUGGGAUAUAGGGCAACUGGCCAAGUGUUUUAGAUUAGAGUUAGUCAGGGAGGUCUCUCAGAGGAGAUAACAUUUG